RNAcentral lists this ribosomal RNA (501 nucleotides) under uncultured bacterium. RNAcentral's name for it is "partial 16S ribosomal RNA". It matches the Rfam family "Bacterial small subunit ribosomal RNA", at positions 30 to 523 of the family's 1533-position model. The record is from RNAcentral.
AUUGAACGCUGGCGGCAGGCUUAACACAUGCAGGUCGAGCGGAGAUGAGGUGCUUGCACCUUAUCUUAGCGGCGGACGGGUGAGUAAUGCUUAGGAAUCUGCCUAUUAGUGGGGGACAACAUUCCGAAAGGAAUGCUAAUACCGCAUACGUCCUACGGGAGAAAGCAGGGGAUCUUCGGACCUUGCGCUAAUAGAUGAGCCUAAGUCGGAUUAGCUAGUUGGUGGGGUAAAGGCCUACCAAGGCGACGAUCUGUAGCGGGUCUGAGAGGAUGAUCCGCCACACUGGGACUGAGACACGGCCCAGACUCCUACGGGAGGCAGCAGUGGGGAAUAUUGGACAAUGGGGGGAACCCUGAUCCAGCCAUGCCGCGUGUGUGAAGAAGGCCCUAUGGUUGUAAAGCACUUUAAGCGAGGAGGAGGCUACUGAGACUAAUACUCUUGGAUAGUGGACGUUACUCGCAGAAUAAGCACCGGCUAACUCUGUGCCAGCCGCCGCGGUAA